AUUGAACGCUGGCGGCAUGCCUUACACAUGCAAGUCGAACGGCAGCACGGGUGCUUGCACCUGGUGGCGAGUGGCGAACGGGUGAGUAAUACAUCGGAACAUGUCCUGUAGUGGGGGAUAGCCCGGCGAAAGCCGGAUUAAUACCGCAUACGAUCUACGGAUGAAAGCGGGGGACCUUCGGGCCUCGCGCUAUAGGGUUGGCCGAUGGCUGAUUAGCUAGUUGGUGGGGUAAAGGCCUACCAAGGCGACGAUCAGUAGCUGGCCUGAGAGGGUGAUCGGCCACACUGGGACUGAGACACGGCCCAGACUCCUACGGGAGGCAGCAGUAGGGAAUCUUCGGCAAUGGACGAAAGUCUGACCGAGCAACGCCGCGUGAGUGAAGAAGGUUUUCGGAUCGUAAAGCUCUGUUGUAAGAGAAGAACGGGUGUGAGAGUGGAAAGUUCACACUGUGACGGUAUCUUACCAGAAAGGGACGGCUAACUACGUG
Molecule: ribosomal RNA, 487 nt
Filed under: uncultured bacterium
Lineage: Bacteria
Description: partial 16S ribosomal RNA
Rfam family: Bacterial small subunit ribosomal RNA
Source: RNAcentral